Long non-coding RNA from Chrysemys picta bellii (western painted turtle), 350 nucleotides. RefSeq lists it as uncharacterized. The record is from RefSeq and is a predicted model, not a curated record. Lineage: Eukaryota; Metazoa; Chordata; Testudines; Emydidae.
GUUCAGACGGCCGGCGCUAGCAGCAGGGACCUCAGCCCGGCUCCGGCGCAGGAAGUCAAAGAGCCGCGGAGCUCGAAACGCAGCUCGCUUAUUCAAAUCAGUCUCCUCCUCUCCGGAGCCCGGCUGGGGCCAGCGCCCACCCACCUCCGAGCAGCCCCGGAGAGGCCGAGCCUCCCACGCGGGGAGGGACGGGGUAAACUGAGGCAUGGGGACUUGUGCAAGGUCAGCCGGAGAGCGAUGGAAGGACCCCAGGAAUUCUAGAACCCCUGUGCUGCCAACUGUCAUGAUUUUUUGGCAACCUGUGGAACUCCUUGCCAGAGGAUGUUGUGAAAGCCAAGACUAUAACAGGG